RNAcentral lists this ribosomal RNA (778 nucleotides) under uncultured Neocallimastigales. RNAcentral's name for it is "partial large subunit ribosomal RNA". It matches the Rfam family "Eukaryotic large subunit ribosomal RNA", at positions 23 to 646 of the family's 3401-position model. Lineage: Eukaryota; Fungi; Neocallimastigomycota; Neocallimastigomycetes; Neocallimastigales. The record is from RNAcentral.
AGAGAGAGACAUGCGCGCAUAUCAAUAAGCGGAGGAAAAGAAACUAACUAGGAUUCCCUCAGUAACGGCGAGUGAAGCGGGAAGAGCUCAAAUUUGAAAUCUUCAAGGUUCUACCUUGACGAAUUGUAGUUUAAAGAAGUGUUUUUCUGUUGGAGUUUUGGUAAAAGUUCUUUGGAAUAGGACAUCAUAGAGGGUGAGAAUCCCGUAUUUGACCAUUAUUUCCAGCUUUGUGAUACACUUUCAAAGAGUCGGAUUGUUUGGGAAUGCAGUCCAAAAUGGGUGGUAAAUUUCAUCUAAAGCUAAAUAUUGGCGAGAGACCGAUAGCGAACAAGUACCGUGAGGGAAAGAUGAAAAGAACUUUGAAAAGAGAGUUAAACAGUACGUGAAAUUGUCAAAAGGGAAGCGUUUGACACCAGUGUUGUUUUCCUCGAAAAUCAAUUAAAAAAGGCAGGAUUUUGUGUUGUAUUGACUUUAUCAGCUUUCUGCACUCUUUUCUUGUCUUUCUUUAAUGCACUUUUCGUUUAACAAGUCAACAUCAAUUUCUUUUGUUGUAAAAGGGUCAUUGGAAGGUGGCUUUCUUUUCGGAGAAAGUGUUUAUAGCCUUUGGCCUCUGCAAUCGGAGAGAUUGAGGUCUGCAGCGUAGAUCCUUCGGGGUUAGAUACAUUUGUGCUAAGUUAUAGCCUUUCAUAGACAACUUGUUGACUAUGAUUCAGUCAUGUAGCUUACUCGCUUAUGCUAUUUUACCUACGCUUAGGAUGUUGAUGUGAUACUGCGAGCA